GACGAACGCUGGCGGCGUGCUUAACACAUGCAAUUCGAACGGUGAAGUAGAGCUUGCUCUAUGGAUCAGUGGCGAACGGGUGAGUAACACGUUGGCAACCUGCCCCAGACUCUGGGAUAACUCCUCGAAAGAGGGGCUAAUACCGGAUAUUUGCAUUUCAAGACAUCUUGUGAUUCAGAAAGAAUUUCGGUCUGGGAAGUGCCCGCGGCCUAUCAGCUUGUUGGUUGGGUAACGGCUAACCAAGGCGACGACGGGUAGCCGGACUGAGAGGGCGACAGGCCACACUGGGACUGAGACACGGCCCAGACUCCUACGGGAGGCAGCAGUGGGGAAUAUUGGGCAAUGGGCGCAAGCCUGACCCAGCAACGCCGCGUGAGGGAUGAAGGUCCUAGGAUUGUAAACCUCUUUCAGCAGGGACGAAGCGAAAGUGACGGUACCUGCAGAAGAAGCACCGGCUAACUACGUGCCAGCAGCCGCCGUAA
RNAcentral lists this ribosomal RNA (482 nucleotides) under uncultured bacterium. Its description in RNAcentral is "partial 16S ribosomal RNA". It matches the Rfam family "Bacterial small subunit ribosomal RNA", at positions 28 to 523 of the family's 1533-position model. The record is from RNAcentral.